AAGGAUCAUUAAAAGGAAGAAGACGCCUGACGUCGCCUAGUACCCUUGAGGCCUACGUGCCAAGUGCCCCCAUUCGGGGCCGGGGCUUCCUUCCACCCUUGUCGUCUUGCACCCCUGUUGCCUCGGCGGGCCGCCGUGACCCACGCCGACCCCCCACGGUCGUGUGCCCGCCGCAGGAGCCAUUGGCACCUCGCCGCCUAGCGGCCUUGAUAUCUACUUAAUAGACCUAAAACUUUCAACAACGGAUCUCUUGGUUCUG
Molecule: unclassified non-coding RNA, 259 nt
Filed under: uncultured fungus
Lineage: Eukaryota; Fungi
Description: partial contains 18S rRNA, ITS1, 5.8S rRNA, ITS2 and 28S rRNA
Source: RNAcentral